UCUCCGUAGGUGAACCUGCGGAGGGAUCAUUAACACUGUAUCCAAUACAAACCAACUGUGAACUAUUAUGUCCCUAACGAGAAAAAGUGUUAGUUGAGGUUGCCGGUGAGAAAUCAGGUAGCAAUACUUGAUUUGGCUUCGACUAACUAGAGUUUUCGAAACUCAAACUUUGAUUGUUAGGCUUUUGACCUAUUCACCUGGUCUUUGAACCAAUCAAAAACCCAUUAUACGUUGCUUCAGCACUAACUAAUGUUUGUGUCGAGCGAAAGCUUGAUCAAAUUAUAUUACGAAAUACUGAACAACUCUUAACAAUGGAUAUCUUGGUUCUC
This 329-nucleotide unclassified non-coding RNA is filed under the name plant metagenome. Its description in RNAcentral is "partial contains small subunit ribosomal RNA, internal transcribed spacer 1, and 5.8S ribosomal RNA". The record is from RNAcentral.